UGGGGAAUUUUGGACAAUGGGGGAAACCCUGAUCCAGCCAUCCCGCGUGUGCGAUGAAGGCCUUCGGGUUGUAAAGCACUUUUGGCAGGAAAGAAACGUCAUGGGUUAAUACCCCGUGAAACUGACGGUACCUGCAGAAUAAGCACCGGCUAACUACGUGCCAGCAGCCGCGGUAAUACGUAGGGUGCAAGCGUUAAUCGGAAUUACUGGGCGUAAAGCGUGCGCAGGCGGUUCGGAAAGAAAGAUGUGAAAUCCCAGAGCUCAACUUUGGAACUGCAUUUUUAACUACCGGGCUAGAGUGUGUCAGAGGGAGGUGGAAUUCCGCGUGUAGCAGUGAAAUGCGUAGAUAUGCGGAGGAACACCGAUGGCGAAGGCAGCCUCCUGGGAUAACACGGACGCUCAUGAACGAAAGCGUGGGGAGCAAACAGG
Molecule: ribosomal RNA, 429 nt
Filed under: Acidobacteriota bacterium
Lineage: Bacteria; Pseudomonadati; Acidobacteriota
Description: Acidobacteria bacterium partial 16S ribosomal RNA
Rfam family: Bacterial small subunit ribosomal RNA
Source: RNAcentral